RNAcentral lists this long non-coding RNA (891 nucleotides) under Ananas comosus (pineapple). RNAcentral's name for it is "long non-coding RNA (ACOM_LNC041769)". Lineage: Eukaryota; Viridiplantae; Streptophyta; Magnoliopsida; Poales; Bromeliaceae. The record is from RNAcentral.
AAAAGUCUGAAAUGUGAUGUUUCAAUCCUCUUUUCUUAGCUCCAUUUUCUUUUGUACCGCCGUUAUCGUAGAUCUGCCAACAAUAAUGACUUGUUGAUACGCUAGCUUGUUUGUCAAAACUGUAACAAUUCGAUCCGCUAGCAAUAAUAACUCGUUAAACUCAAACCAAAGGCCUAAAAUGUUUAAACCCCGUUACUAUUAUUAGAAUGCGAAUUCUCAUAUAUUUUCAUUUAUUUAUUUAUUUUUUAUCUGAUAUAUUACAAAAAUUGCUACUGAAUCUAUGGCCCAAUCCUUCAUGCACGUCGCAUAUUCAUUCGAAAUUUAAAAUUUUUAACUUCACGUAAUUCUGGGCCCGCCUAUUUCUUGCCGAAACUCUCUCUUUGACACGAAGCCAUUUUCGAUGCCACGAAUCUUCUUUUUGAGUUUCAGUCACCAAGUCGUUCUUUUUUUUCACUUUUGUUACUAAAAGUAUACAGAGCUUAGCUGAAUUAUAAAUUAUUUUGGUUUAAUUUUCCAACUUUUAAAAUUUUAAUUUUAUUAGUCAAAUUUUAAAUUUGUUUGAUUUAAAUCAAUCAAUGAUACAUUGACUUUAAAAUUUAAAUACGUUGUUAAUUUAUCUUUGCAGAUUUAGUUAGUUAGUAUAUUUCAUACAAUUCUUGCAGUUAUAAGUUUAUUAAAGUAAAUAAUCAGCUUAAAUUUUAAAGUCAAAAUGUCGUUGACAGACUCAAAUCAAACAUAUUAAAAAGUUUGACAGUAAAAUCAAAGUUUUAAAAGUUUGGAUAAUAAAUUCAAAAUAGUCCGUAAUUCAGAUAAGUUCUAAAAGUUCUUAUCAAUUUUGUUUAUCAAAUUUGAGAUACCGUUUGAUUUAGGUAUUAGGGAGGGAAAAAUAAG